Molecule: ribosomal RNA, 1532 nt
Filed under: Staphylococcus aureus
Lineage: Bacteria; Bacillati; Bacillota; Bacilli; Caryophanales; Staphylococcaceae
Description: partial 16S ribosomal RNA
Rfam family: Bacterial small subunit ribosomal RNA
Source: RNAcentral
UUUUAUGGAGAGUUUGAUCCUGGCUCAGGAUGAACGCUGGCGGCGUGCCUAAUACAUGCAAGUCGAGCGAACGGACGAGAAGCUUGCUUCUCUGAUGUUAGCGGCGGACGGGUGAGUAACACGUGGAUAACCUACCUAUAAGACUGGGAUAACUUCGGGAAACCGGAGCUAAUACCGGAUAAUAUUUUGAACCGCAUGGUUCAAAAGUGAAAGACGGUCUUGCUGUCACUUAUAGAUGGAUCCGCGCUGCAUUAGCUAGUUGGUAAGGUAACGGCUUACCAAGGCAACGAUGCAUAGCCGACCUGAGAGGGUGAUCGGCCACACUGGAACUGAGACACGGUCCAGACUCCUACGGGAGGCAGCAGUAGGGAAUCUUCCGCAAUGGGCGAAAGCCUGACGGAGCAACGCCGCGUGAGUGAUGAAGGUCUUCGGAUCGUAAAACUCUGUUAUUAGGGAAGAACAUAUGUGUAAGUAACUGUGCACAUCUUGACGGUACCUAAUCAGAAAGCCACGGCUAACUACGUGCCAGCAGCCGCGGUAAUACGUAGGUGGCAAGCGUUAUCCGGAAUUAUUGGGCGUAAAGCGCGCGUAGGCGGUUUUUUAAGUCUGAUGUGAAAGCCCACGGCUCAACCGUGGAGGGUCAUUGGAAACUGGAAAACUUGAGUGCAGAAGAGGAAAGUGGAAUUCCAUGUGUAGCGGUGAAAUGCGCAGAGAUAUGGAGGAACACCAGUGGCGAAGGCGACUUUCUGGUCUGUAACUGACGCUGAUGUGCGAAAGCGUGGGGAUCAAACAGGAUUAGAUACCCUGGUAGUCCACGCCGUAAACGAUGAGUGCUAAGUGUUAGGGGGUUUCCGCCCCUUAGUGCUGCAGCUAACGCAUUAAGCACUCCGCCUGGGGAGUACGACCGCAAGGUUGAAACUCAAAGGAAUUGACGGGGACCCGCACAAGCGGUGGAGCAUGUGGUUUAAUUCGAAGCAACGCGAAGAACCUUACCAAAUCUUGACAUCCUUUGACAACUCUAGAGAUAGAGCCUUCCCCUUCGGGGGACAAAGUGACAGGUGGUGCAUGGUUGUCGUCAGCUCGUGUCGUGAGAUGUUGGGUUAAGUCCCGCAACGAGCGCAACCCUUAAGCUUAGUUGCCAUCAUUAAGUUGGGCACUCUAAGUUGACUGCCGGUGACAAACCGGAGGAAGGUGGGGAUGACGUCAAAUCAUCAUGCCCCUUAUGAUUUGGGCUACACACGUGCUACAAUGGACAAUACAAAGGGCAGCGAAACCGCGAGGUCAAGCAAAUCCCAUAAAGUUGUUCUCAGUUCGGAUUGUAGUCUGCAACUCGACUACAUGAAGCUGGAAUCGCUAGUAAUCGUAGAUCAGCAUGCUACGGUGAAUACGUUCCCGGGUCUUGUACACACCGCCCGUCACACCACGAGAGUUUGUAACACCCGAAGCCGGUGGAGUAACCUUUUAGGAGCUAGCCGUCGAAGGUGGGACAAAUGAUUGGGGUGAAGUCGUAACAAGGUAGCCGUAUCGGAAGG